AAUUUUCGGCAAUGGGGGGAACCCUGACCGAGCGAUGCCGCGUGAGUGAUGAAGGUCUUCGGACUGUAAAACUCUGUUAUUAGGGAAGAAUACUAUAGGGAGGAAAUGCCUUAUAGAUGACGGUACCUAAUGAGGAAGCCCCGGCCAACUAUGUGCCAGCAGCCGCGGUAAUACAUAGGGGGCGAGCGUUAUCCGGAAUUACUGGGCGUAAAGGGUGCGUAGGCGGUUUCUUAAGUCUAGUGUGAAAGCCCACGGCUUAACCGUGGAGGGUCAUUAGAAACUGGGAGACUUGAGUACAGCAGAGGUAAGUGGAAUUUCUAGUGGAGCGGUGAAAUGCGUAGAUAUUUGAAGGAACACCAGUGGCGAAGGCGGCUUACUGGGCUGGAACUGACGCUGAGGCACGAAAGCGUGGGGAGCAAACAGG
Molecule: ribosomal RNA, 424 nt
Filed under: uncultured bacterium
Lineage: Bacteria
Description: partial 16S ribosomal RNA
Rfam family: Bacterial small subunit ribosomal RNA
Source: RNAcentral